GACGAACGCUGGCGGCGUGCCUAAUACAUGCAAGUAGAACGCACAGUUUAUACCGUAGCUUGCUACACCAUAGACUGUGAGUUGCGAACGGGUGAGUAACGCGUAGGUAACCUGCCUGGUAGCGGGGGAUAACUAUUGGAAACGAUAGCUAAUACCGCAUAAUAUUAAUUAUUGCAUGAUAAUUAAUUGAAAGGUGCAAUUGCACCACUACCAGAUGGACCUGCGUUGUAUUAGCUAGUAGGUGAGGUAACGGCUCACCUAGGCGACGAUACAUAGCCGACCUGAGAGGGUGAUCGGCCACACUGGGACUGAGACAAGGCCCAGACUCCUAAGGGAGGCAGCAGUAGGGAAUCUUCGGCAAUGGACGAAAGUCUGACCGAGCAACGCCGCGUGAGUGAAGAAGGUUUUCGGAUCGUAAAGAUCUGUUGUAAGAGAAGAACGGGUGUGAGAGUGGAAAGUUCACACUGUGACGGUAUCUUACCAGAAAGGGACGGCUAACUACGUG
Molecule: ribosomal RNA, 505 nt
Filed under: uncultured bacterium
Lineage: Bacteria
Description: partial 16S ribosomal RNA
Rfam family: Bacterial small subunit ribosomal RNA
Source: RNAcentral